Molecule: ribosomal RNA, 926 nt
Filed under: uncultured Bacteroidota bacterium
Lineage: Bacteria; Pseudomonadati; Bacteroidota
Description: bacterial SSU rRNA
Rfam family: Bacterial small subunit ribosomal RNA
Source: RNAcentral
UGGAUCCAGACUUUGAUUAUGGCUCAGGAUGAACGCUAGCUACAGGCUUAACACAUGCAAGUCGAGGGGAAACGACAUCGAAAGCUUGCUUUUGAUGGGCGUCGACCGGCGCACGGGUGAGUAACGCGUAUCCAACCUGCCCACCACUUGGGGAUAACCUUGCGAAAGUAAGACUAAUACCCAAUGAUAUCUCUAGAAGACAUCUGAAAGAGAUUAAAGAUUUAUCGGUGAUGGAUGGGGAUGCGUCUGAUUAGCUUGUUGGCGGGGUAACGGCCCACCAAGGCGACGAUCAGUAGGGGUUCUGAGAGGAAGGUCCCCCACAUUGGAACUGAGACACGGUCCAAACUCCUACGGGAGGCAGCAGUGAGGAAUAUUGGUCAAUGGGCGAGAGCCUGAACCAGCCAAGUAGCGUGCAGGAUGACGGCCCUAUGGGUUGUAAACUGCUUUUAUAAGGGAAUAAAGUGAGUCUCGUGAGAUUUUUUGCAUGUACCUUAUGAAUAAGGACCGGCUAAUUCCGUGCCGGCAGCCGCGGUAAUACGGAAGGUCCGGGCGUUAUCCGGAUUUAUUGGGUUUAAAGGGAGCGUAGGCCGGAGAUUAAGCGUGUUGUGAAAUGUAGACGCUCAACGUCUGCACUGCAGCGCGAACUGGUUUCCUUGAGUACGCACAAAGUGGGCGGAAUUCGUGGUGUAGCGGUGAAAUGCUUAGAUAUCACGAAGAACUCCGAUUGCGAAGGCAGCUCACUGGAGCGCAACUGACGCUGAAGCUCGAAAGUGCGGGUAUCGGACAGGAUUAGAUACCCUGGUAGUCCGCACGGUAAACGAUGGAUGCCCGCUGUUGGUCUGAAUAGGUCAGCGGCCAAGCGAAAGCAUUAAGCAUCCCACCUGGGGAGUACGCCGGCAACGGUGCAACUCAAAGGAAUUGACGGA